RNAcentral lists this ribosomal RNA (469 nucleotides) under uncultured bacterium. RNAcentral's name for it is "partial 16S ribosomal RNA". It matches the Rfam family "Bacterial small subunit ribosomal RNA", at positions 28 to 507 of the family's 1533-position model. The record is from RNAcentral.
GACGAACGCUGGCGGCGUGCUUAACACAUGCAAGUCGAACGGAAAGGCCCUGCUUUUGUGGGGUGCUCGAGUGGCGAACGGGUGAGUAACACGUGAGUAACCUGCCCUUGACUUUGGGAUAACUUCAGGAAACUGGGGCUAAUACCGGAUAGGAGCUCCUGCUGCAUGGUGGGGGUUGGAAAGUUUCGGCGGUUGGGGAUGGACUCGCGGCUUAUCAGCUUGUUGGUGGGGUAGUGGCUUACCAAGGCUUUGACGGGUAGCCGGCCUGAGAGGGUGACCGGCCACAUUGGGACUGAGAUACGGCCCAGACUCCUACGGGAGGCAGCAGUGGGGAAUAUUGCACAAUGGGUGGAAGCCUGAUGCAGCAACGCCGUGUGCGGGAUGACGGCCUUCGGGUUGUAAACCGCGUUCGCUCAUGACGAAGCUUUGUGUGACGGUAGUGGGUAAAGAAGCACCGGCUAACUACGUG